UACGUAGGGUGCAAGCGUUGUCCGGAAUUAUUGGGCGUAAAGAGCUCGUAGGCGGUCUGUUGCGUCGGCUGUGAAAACCCGAGGCUCAACCUCGGGCCUGCAGCCGAUACGGGCAGACUAGAGUUCGGCAGGGGAGACUGGAAUUCCUGGUGUAGCGGUGAAAUGCGCAGAUAUCAGGAGGAACACCGGUGGCGAAGGCGGAUCUCUGGGCCAUUACUGACGCUGGGGAGCGAAAGCGUGGGGAGCGAACAGG
This 253-nucleotide ribosomal RNA is filed under the name uncultured bacterium. RNAcentral describes it as "partial 16S ribosomal RNA". It matches the Rfam family "Bacterial small subunit ribosomal RNA", at positions 524 to 776 of the family's 1533-position model. The record is from RNAcentral.